RNAcentral lists this ribosomal RNA (397 nucleotides) under uncultured bacterium. RNAcentral's name for it is "bacterial SSU rRNA". It matches the Rfam family "Bacterial small subunit ribosomal RNA", at positions 355 to 769 of the family's 1533-position model. The record is from RNAcentral.
UGGGGAAUAUUGCACAAUGGGCGAAAGCCUGAUGCAGCAACGCCGCGUGAGUGAUGAAGGCCUUCGGGUUGUAAAGCUCUGUCUUCUGGGACGAUAAUGACGGUACCAGAGGAGGAAGCCACGGCUAACUACGUGCCAGCAGCCGCGGUAAUACGUAGGUGGCAAGCGUUGUCCGGAUUUACUGGGCGUAAAGGAUGCGUAGGCGGAUACUUAAGUCAGAUGUGAAAAUCCCGGGCUUAACUUGGGAACUGCAUUUGAAACUGGCUAACUAGAGUGCGGGGGAGGAAAGGGGAAUUCCUGGUGUAGCGGUGAAAUGCGUAGAGAUUAGGAAGAACACCAGUGGCGAAGGCGACUUUCUGGACCGUAACUGACGCUGUGGCAUGAAAGCGUGGGGAGC